This 67-nucleotide transfer RNA is filed under the name Marmota monax (woodchuck). RNAcentral describes it as "tRNA.Ser". It matches the Rfam family "tRNA". Rfam says of the family: Transfer RNA (tRNA) molecules are approximately 80 nucleotides in length. Lineage: Eukaryota; Metazoa; Chordata; Mammalia; Rodentia; Sciuridae. The record is from RNAcentral.
GGUUGUGGCUCAGUGGCAGAGCGCUUGCCUUGAACGUGUGAGGCACUGAGUUUGAGCCUCAGCACCA